This 486-nucleotide ribosomal RNA is filed under the name uncultured bacterium. Its description in RNAcentral is "partial 16S ribosomal RNA". It matches the Rfam family "Bacterial small subunit ribosomal RNA", at positions 30 to 507 of the family's 1533-position model. The record is from RNAcentral.
AUUGAACGCUGGCGGCAUGCCUUUCACAUGCAAGUCGAACGGCAGCACGGGUGCUUGCACCUGGUGGCGAGUGGCGAACGGGUGAGUAAUACAUCGGAACAUGUCCUGUAGUGGGGGAUAGCCCGGCGAAAGCCGGAUAAAUACCGCAUACGAUCUACGGAUGAAAGCGGGGGACCUUCGGGCCUCGCGCUAUAGGGUUGGCCGAUGGCUGAUUAGCUAGUUGGUGGGGUAAAGGCCUACCAAGGCGACGAUCAGUAGCUGGUCUGAGAGGACGACCAGCCACACUGGGACUGAGACACGGCCCAGACUCCUACGGGAGGCAGCAGUGGGGAAUUUUGGACAAUGGGCGAAAGCCUGAUCCAGCAAUGCCGCGUGUGUGAAGAAGGCCUUCGGGUUGUAAAGCACUUUUGUCCGGAAAGAAAUCCUUGGCCCUAAUACGGUCGGGGGAUGACGGUACCGGAAGAAUAAGCACCGGCUAACUACGUG